This 415-nucleotide ribosomal RNA is filed under the name uncultured bacterium. Its description in RNAcentral is "bacterial SSU rRNA". It matches the Rfam family "Bacterial small subunit ribosomal RNA", at positions 954 to 1368 of the family's 1533-position model. The record is from RNAcentral.
GCUAAACGCGAAGAACCUUACCAAGGCUUGACAUGGAUUUCUAAGCACGUGAAAGCGUGUGACCCUUCGGGGGACUUCCACAGGUGCUGCAUGGCCGUCGUCAGCUCGUGUCGUGAAAUGUUGGGUUAAGUCCCGUAACGAGCGCAACCCUUGUCCUUAGUUACCAGCACGUUAUGGUGGGCACUCUAAGGAGACUGCCGGUGACAAACCGGAGGAGGGUGGGGAUGACGUCAAGUCAUCAUGGCCCUUACGGCCGUGGGCUACACACGUGCUACAAUGGUCGGUACAGAGGGUUGCCAAGCCGCGAGGUGGAGCUAAUCUCACAAAACCGAUCGUAGUCCGGAUCGCAGUCUGCAACUCGACUGCGUGAAGUCGGAAUCGCUAGUAAUCGCGGAUCAGAACGCCGCGGUGAAUA